CACCAUUUUGUUGUAUACAAUUAGCAAUAACAUAGGACAUUGCACCGAUACAAAAUAUCAGGUGCUUUUAGAGUGCAGAUAUUCUCUUCAUACUAAGGUGGACAGCUGAAUCUUAAUACACUACUAACUAUUAAAAAUCAUGUUUCCGCCAUGAUAUAUAAUCAUAAGAACUAGCAAUGUGAGUCGUUUGAUUUGAACUAUAAAGCUUUAUUUCUAAUUGUUUCUGCACACUGCACUACACUCACUGCACAUUCUAUCAUCAAAUAAGUAAAUAUAGUUCCGUGAGCAACCAAAAAUAUUCUACUCCCUCCGUCUCUUAUUACUUUUCCUGUUUCUCUCUAGCAUGUUUGCCAAUACAC
RNAcentral lists this long non-coding RNA (359 nucleotides) under Daucus carota (carrot). RNAcentral's name for it is "long non-coding RNA (DCAR_LNC007228)". The record is from RNAcentral. Lineage: Eukaryota; Viridiplantae; Streptophyta; Magnoliopsida; Apiales; Apiaceae.